AUUGAACGCUGGCGGCAUGCCUUACACAUGCGAGUCGAACGGCAGCACGGGUGCUUGCCCCUGGUGGCGAGUGGCGAACGGGUGAGUAAUACAUCGGAACAUGUCCUGUAGUGGGGGAUAGCCCGGCGAAAGCCGGAUUAAUACCGCAUACGAUCCACGGAUGAAAGCGGGGGACCUUCGGGCCUCGCGCUAUAGGGUUGGCCGAUGGCUGAUUAGCUAGUUGGUGGGGUAAAGGCCUACCAAGGCGACGAUCAGUAGCUGGUCUGAGAGGACGACCAGCCACACUGGGACUGAGACACGGCCCAGACUCCUACGGGAGGCAGCAGUGGGGAAUUUUGGACAAUGGGCGAAAGCCUGAUCCAGCAAUGCCGCGUGUGUGAAGAAGGCCUUCGGGUUGUAAAGCACUUUUGUCCGGAAAGAAAUCCUUGGCUCUAAUACAGUCGGGGGAUGACGGUACCGGAAGAAUAAGCACCGGCUAACUACGUG
This 486-nucleotide ribosomal RNA is filed under the name uncultured bacterium. RNAcentral's name for it is "partial 16S ribosomal RNA". It matches the Rfam family "Bacterial small subunit ribosomal RNA", at positions 30 to 507 of the family's 1533-position model. The record is from RNAcentral.